AGUGAACGCUGGCGGUAGGCCUAACACAUGCAAGUCGAACGGCAGCACAGUAAGAGCUUGCUCUUACGGGUGGCGCGUGGCGGACGGGUGAGGAAUACAUCGGAAUCUACUUUUUCGUGGGGGAUAACGUAGGGAAACUUACGCUAAUACCGCAUACGACCUACGGGUGAAAGCAGGGGAUCUUCGGACCUUGCGCGAUUGAAUGAGCCUAUGUCGGAUUAGCUAGUUGGCGGGGUAAAGGCCCACCAAGGCGACGAUCCGUAGCUGGUCUGAGAGGAUGAUCAGCCAGACUGGAACUGAGACACGGCCCAGACUCCUACGGGAGGCAGCAGUGGGGAAUAUUGGACAAGGGGGGCAAGCCUGAUCCAGCCAUACCGCGUGAGUGAAGAAGGACUUCGGGUUGUAAAGCCCUGUUGUUGGGAAAGAAAAGCAGCAGGUUAAUACCCCGCGGUUCUGACGGUACCCAAAGAAUAAGCACCGGCUAACUUCGUG
This 492-nucleotide ribosomal RNA is filed under the name uncultured bacterium. RNAcentral's name for it is "partial 16S ribosomal RNA". It matches the Rfam family "Bacterial small subunit ribosomal RNA", at positions 29 to 507 of the family's 1533-position model. The record is from RNAcentral.